RNAcentral lists this ribosomal RNA (349 nucleotides) under uncultured bacterium. Its description in RNAcentral is "bacterial SSU rRNA". It matches the Rfam family "Bacterial small subunit ribosomal RNA", at positions 8 to 349 of the family's 1533-position model. The record is from RNAcentral.
AGAGUUUGAUCAUGGCUCAGGAUGAACGCUAGCGACAGGCUUAACACAUGCAAGUCGAGGGGCAGCAUGAUUUGUAGCAAUACAGAUUGAUGGCGACCGGCGCACGGGUGAGUAACGCGUAUGCAACUUACCUAUCAGAGGGGGAUAGCCCGGCGAAAGUCGGAUUAAUACCCCAUAAAACAGGGGUCCCGCAUGGGAAUAUUUGUUAAAGAUUCAUCGCUGAUAGAUAGGCAUGCGUUCCAUUAGGCAGUUGGCGGGUAACGGCCACCAACCGACGAUGGAUAGGGGUUCUGAGAGGAACGGUCCCCCACAUUGGUACUGAGACCACGGACCAACUCCUACGGGAGCA